CUGAAGGAAGAGAAAGAAAUUCGAUUCCGUAAGUAGCGGCGAGCGAACGCGGAUUAGCCCAAACCAAUAAAGUUUUCUUUAUUGGGGUUGCGGACAUAUCAUAACGGAGAGGUAUCGUAAUUGAAGAGGUUUGGAAAGACCCACCACAGAAGGUAAUAGUCCUGUAUGUUAAACGAGAAUACUUUAGAUAUGAUCCAGAGUACCACGGGACACGUGAAACCCUGUGGGAAGCAGGAGGGACCACCUUCCAAGGCUAAAUACUACCUAGUGACCGAUAGCGUAUAGUACCGUGAGGGAAAGGUGAAAAGAACCCCGGGAGGGGAGUGAAAUAGAACCUGAAACCCUGCACUUA
RNAcentral lists this ribosomal RNA (352 nucleotides) under Clostridioides difficile. Its description in RNAcentral is "partial 23S ribosomal RNA". It matches the Rfam family "Bacterial large subunit ribosomal RNA", at positions 210 to 566 of the family's 2925-position model. Lineage: Bacteria; Bacillati; Bacillota; Clostridia; Peptostreptococcales; Peptostreptococcaceae. The record is from RNAcentral.